AGGACUUCGGAGAGGAGAGGCGCUGGGUCGAGGAGCUGGACGCGACGUUUUGCUGGUUGGAGUGCUUCUGAACCCCGCCCAUGCCUCCUAGAGGAAGGGAUCUAAUUUCAAUUCAUCGGCCUCAGAUUGGUAGGACUACCCGCUGAACUUAAGCAUAUCAAUAAGCGGAGGAAAAGAAACUAACAAGGAUUCCCCUAGUAACGGCGAGUGAAGAGGGAAGAGCCCAAGAUUGAAAGCUGGCGUCUUCGGCGUCCGCAUUGUAAUCUCAAGAAGUGUUUUCCGCUUCGGACCAAGCCUAAGUCCCCUGGAAAGGGGCAUCAUAGAGGGUGAUAAUCCCGUACAUGGCUUGGAGCGCCCGAGGCUUUGUGAUACGCUUUCUAAGAGUCGAGUUGUUUGGGAAUGCAGCUCAAAAUGGGUGGUAAAUGCCAUCUAAGGCUAAAUAUUGGGGAGAGACCGAUAGCGAACAAGUACAGUGAUGGAAAGAUGAAAAGAACUUUGAAAAGAGAGUUAAACAGUACGUGAAAUUGCCAAAAGGGAAGGGUAGGAGGUCAGAGAUGCGGCCUGGGAUUCAGCCUUGCUUUUGCUUGGUGUUUUUCCCAGAUUGCAGGCCAACGUCGGUUUUGGGCACUGGAGAAGGGUAGGAGGAACGUGGCACCUCUCGGGGUGUGUUAUAGCCUCCUACUGGAUACAGCGACCGAGACCGAGGACAGCAGCGUACUCGCAAG
RNAcentral lists this ribosomal RNA (725 nucleotides) under Pseudozyma sp. RNAcentral describes it as "eukaryotic LSU rRNA". The stretch from base 117 to 725 matches the Rfam family "Eukaryotic large subunit ribosomal RNA", at positions 1 to 690 of the family's 3401-position model. Lineage: Eukaryota; Fungi; Basidiomycota; Ustilaginomycetes; Ustilaginales; Ustilaginaceae. The record is from RNAcentral.